RNAcentral lists this ribosomal RNA (463 nucleotides) under uncultured Enterobacteriaceae bacterium. RNAcentral's name for it is "bacterial SSU rRNA". It matches the Rfam family "Bacterial small subunit ribosomal RNA", at positions 920 to 1382 of the family's 1533-position model. The record is from RNAcentral. Lineage: Bacteria; Pseudomonadati; Pseudomonadota; Gammaproteobacteria; Enterobacterales; Enterobacteriaceae.
CCCGCACAAGCGGUGGAGCAUUGUGGUUUAAUUCGAUGCAACGCGAAGAACCUUUACCUGGUCUUGACAUCCACGGAAGUUUUCAGAGAUGAGAAUGUGCCUUCGGGAACCGUGAGACAGGUGCUGCAUGGCUGUCGUCAGCUCGUGUUGUGAAAUGUUGGGUUAAGUCCCGCAACGAGCGCAACCCUUAUCCCUUGUUGCCAGCGGUCCGGCCGGGAACUCAAAGGAGACUGCCAGUGAUAAACUGGAGGAAGGUGGGAUGACGUCAAGUCAUCAUGGCCCUUACGACCAGGGCUACACACGUGCUACAAUGGCGCAUACAAAGAGAAGCGACCUCGCGAGAGCAAGCGGACCUCAUAAAGUGCGUCGUAGUCCGGAUUGGAGUCUGCAACUCGACUCCAUGAAGUCGGAAUCGCUAGUAAUCGUGGAUCAGAAUGCCACGGUGAAUACGUUCCCGGGCCUU